GCGCCGAUGGUAGUGUGGGGCUUCCCCAUGCGAGAGUAGGUCAUCGUCAGGC
RNAcentral lists this ribosomal RNA (52 nucleotides) under Aidingimonas halophila. The record is from RNAcentral. Lineage: Bacteria; Pseudomonadati; Pseudomonadota; Gammaproteobacteria; Oceanospirillales; Halomonadaceae.